UCCUACGGGAGGCAGCAGGCGCGAAAACUCUACAAUGCAGGCAACUGCGAUAGGGGAACAUCGAGUGAUCCUCAUAUUGGGGGUCUGUCCACCCGUCUAAAAAACGGGUGUUAGCAAGGGCCGGGCAAGACCGGUGCCAGCCGCCGCGGUAAUACCGGCGGCUCGAGUGGUGGCCGAUAUUAUUGAGUCUAAAGGGUCCGUAGCCGGCUUUGCAAGUCUCUCGGGAAAUCCAGCGGCUUAACCGUUGGUCGUCCGGGGGGUACUACAUUGCUUGGGACUGGGAGAGGUAGGAGGUACUCAGGGGGUAGGAGUGAAAUCCUGUAAUCCUUUGGGGACCACCGGUGGCGAAGGCGUCCUACCAGAACAGGUCCGACGGUGAGGGACGAAAGCUAGGGGCACGAACCGGAUUAGAUACCCCGGUAGU
This 424-nucleotide ribosomal RNA is filed under the name uncultured bacterium. Its description in RNAcentral is "bacterial SSU rRNA". It matches the Rfam family "Archaeal small subunit ribosomal RNA", at positions 321 to 745 of the family's 1478-position model. The record is from RNAcentral.